ACGCGAAGAACCUUACCCAGGCUUGAACAGCGAGUGACUACUCCUGAAAGGGAGCUUCCGCAAGGACACUCGUAGAGGUGCUGCAUGGCUGUCGUCAGCUCGUGUCGUGAGAUGUUGGGUUAAGUCCCGCAACGAGCGCAACCCUUGUCUUCUGUUGCCAUCAGGUUAUGCUGGGCACUCUGGAGAGACUGCCGGUGAUAAACCGGAGGAAGGUGGGGAUGACGUCAAGUCAGCAUGGCCUUUAUGUCUGGGGCUACACACGUGCUACAAUGGCCGGCACAAACCGUCGCGAGCCCGCAAGGGGGAGCUAAUCGGAGAAAGUCGGUCUCAGUUCGGAUCGUCGGCUGCAACUCGCCGGCGUGAAGUUGGAAUCGCUAGUAAUCGCGGAUCAGCACGCCGCGGUGAAUACGUUCCCGGGCCUUGUA
Molecule: ribosomal RNA, 425 nt
Filed under: uncultured Acidobacterium sp.
Lineage: Bacteria; Pseudomonadati; Acidobacteriota; Terriglobia; Terriglobales; Acidobacteriaceae
Description: bacterial SSU rRNA
Rfam family: Bacterial small subunit ribosomal RNA
Source: RNAcentral